This 506-nucleotide ribosomal RNA is filed under the name uncultured bacterium. Its description in RNAcentral is "bacterial SSU rRNA". It matches the Rfam family "Bacterial small subunit ribosomal RNA", at positions 25 to 518 of the family's 1533-position model. The record is from RNAcentral.
CAGGAUGAACGCUAGCUACAGGCUUAACACAUGCAAGUCGAGGGGCAGCAGGACGAUAGCUUGCUAUUGUUGCUGGCGACCGGCGCACGGGUGAGUAACGCGUAUCCAACCUUCCCCUUAGUAGGGCAUAGCCCGGUGAAAAUCGGAUUAAUACCCUAUGUUGUGUCAUGAGGACAUCUGAAUAACACUAAAGAUUUUAUCGCUAAGGGAUGGGGAUGCGUCCGAUUAGGCAGUCGGCGGGGUAACGGCCCACCGAGCCCUCGAUCGGUAGGGGUUCUGAGAGGAAGGUCCCCCACACUGGUACUGAGACACGGACCAGACUCCUACGGGAGGCAGCAGUGAGGAAUAUUGGUCAAUGGGCGUAAGCCUGAACCAGCCAAGUAAGCGUGCAGGAUGACGGCCCUAUGGGUUGUAAACUGCUUUUAUACGGGGAUAAAGUGAGGGACGUGUCCCUUAUUGUAGGUACCGUAUGAAUAAGGACCGGCUAAUUCCGUGCCAGCCGCGGC